Molecule: ribosomal RNA, 254 nt
Filed under: uncultured bacterium
Lineage: Bacteria
Also listed under: 2 other names
Description: partial 16S ribosomal RNA
Rfam family: Bacterial small subunit ribosomal RNA
Source: RNAcentral
UACGGGGGGAGCAAGCGUUGUUCGGAUUUACUGGGCGUAAAGGGCGGGUAGGCGGCCACCGCAAGUCAGUUGUGAAAUCUCCGGGCUUAACCCGGAAAGGUCAACUGAUACUGCGGGGCUAGAGUGCAGAAGGGGCAACUGGAAUUCUCGGUGUAGCGGUGAAAUGCGUAGAUAUCGAGAGGAACACCUGCGGCGAAGGCGGGUUGCUGGGCUGACACUGACGCUGAACUGCGAAAGCUAGGGGAGCGAACGGG